RNAcentral lists this ribosomal RNA (591 nucleotides) under Triticum aestivum (bread wheat). RNAcentral's name for it is "partial small subunit ribosomal RNA". Lineage: Eukaryota; Viridiplantae; Streptophyta; Magnoliopsida; Poales; Poaceae. The record is from RNAcentral.
GUUGUCUUCGCCAAGACGUCCCACGAGGCAUGGACUAUUCUUGAGCGCUCGUUUGCGGCACAGUCGCAGGCUCGUGUAUCUGGGCUCCGUCACCAACUUGGGGAGUGUCAGAAGCUUGACUCCACCGCCACUGAGUUCUACAACAAAGUCAAGAGUCUCGCCGACACGCUGGCCUCCAUUGGACAGCCCCUCACCGACUCCGAGUUCAACUCGUUUAUUGUCAAUGGUCUUGAUGAGGAGUAUGACGCCCUAGUCGAGAUCAUCAAUGAGAGAGGCAACUCCACGCCCAUGCCAGCACACGAGGUCUUUUCACGCCUCCUGCUUACUGAGCAACGAGUCGAGACGCGCCGAUCCAGGGGCAACGGCGCCCUCUCAGCAAACGCCGCCACCAAGGGUGGUCGCUCCUCUGCUUCAUCCAGGGCUCCUUCGGGGCAGUCACCACCACCCGCCUCGGCCCCUCCUCCUACUGCGACGCUACCAGGGGCUGGUGGUCCACGUGUGUGCCAGCUUUGUGGUCGCGAUGGGCACUGGGCCUCGAAGUGUCACAAGCGCUUCCAGCGGGGUUUUCUUGGUCUCGGCAAUGACGGGAAG